RNAcentral lists this transfer RNA (55 nucleotides) under Dysdera sp. MA. Its description in RNAcentral is "tRNA-Leu". Lineage: Eukaryota; Metazoa; Arthropoda; Arachnida; Araneae; Dysderidae. The record is from RNAcentral.
UUUUAUCUUGGCAGACUCUACUAAUGCAAAAGACUUAGAAUCUUUUCAACCUUAA